GCGUGGGGGACCCACAGGGGUGUGCGGGGGACAGCAGCCCCCUUGAGCAGGAACGCCUCUCAAGGUUAUGCCUCGAGGCUGAGAGAUCCCGUACCUGACACCAGGCGCCGAAUGGCGGAUACCUACAGAUACUGAUUAGAAUUCAGUCAACUAACGCCUAGACCAGCUCUGGCUGAGUGACCUUGGACUCCUCUUCUGCGACAGCGAUGGCGGCUUGUGGAGUGGCUGGAAGAAAACGGGCAUAUUAUGAGCAAUCCAGGCCGAAUAACUUGGUUGUAAUAACAGGCUGCAGCCCUAACAAGCUGCAGGUGUUAUGAAGGACUUAUGCAAGGCCAAGGGAGAUAAAGAAACUGUGUAUUCACAGAGAGAUAAGAGAAUAGGACAGAAAGAUGAGAAAAAACGGGAUGCUUGCACAAGGGGGGAGCAGCGUGUGGGCACCACACCGGGACCAGUCAUAAGGGAGGUGGAAGUGUGUGAACGGGUAGUUUUAACCGAUCACUUUUUAAAUAACAAAGCCUAUGUAGCGUGUGUAUCGUUUGCUGAGAGUAUAAAUUGCUGUAAGCCUUUUAAUAAAGUGGCACUAACUUGA
This is a long non-coding RNA of Falco peregrinus (peregrine falcon), 589 nucleotides long. RefSeq lists it as uncharacterized. Lineage: Eukaryota; Metazoa; Chordata; Aves; Falconiformes; Falconidae. The record is from RefSeq and is a predicted model, not a curated record. The transcript is spliced from 2 exons.